CAUGCAAGUCGAGGGGCAGCACGGGAGUAGCAAUACAACUGGUGGCGACCGGCGCACGGGUGAGUAACGCGUAUGCAACCUACCUAUCAGAGGGGAAUAACCCGGCGAAAGUCGGACUAAUACCGCAUAAAACAGGGGCACCGCAUGGUGAUAUUAGUUAAAGAAAUUCGCUGAUAGAUGGGCAUGCGUUCCAUUAGGUAGUUGGUGAGGUAACGGCUCACCAAGCCGACGAUGGAUAGGGGAACUGAGAGGUUGGUCCCCCACACUGGUACUGAGACACGGACCAGACUCCUACGGGAGGCAGCAGUGAGGAAUAUUGGUCAAUGGGCGGGAGCCUGAACCAGCCAAGUCGCGUGAAGGAAGAAGGAUCUAUGGUUCGUAAACUUCUUUUGCAGGGGAAUAAAGUGCAGGACGUGUCCUGUUUUGUAUGUACCCUGAGAAUAAGGAUCGGCUAACUCCGUGCCAGCAGCCGCGGUAAUACGGAGGAUCCGAGCGUUAUCCGGAUUUAUUGGGUUUAAAGGGUGCGUAGGUGGUUUGAUAAGUCAGCGGUGAAAGUUUGCAGCUUAACUGUAAAAAUGCCGUUGAAACUGUCGGACUUGAGUGUAAAUGAGGUAGGCGGAAUGUGUGGUGUAGCGGUGAAAUGCAUAGAUAUC
Molecule: ribosomal RNA, 653 nt
Filed under: uncultured bacterium
Lineage: Bacteria
Description: bacterial SSU rRNA
Rfam family: Bacterial small subunit ribosomal RNA
Source: RNAcentral